Molecule: unclassified non-coding RNA, 849 nt
Filed under: Hevea brasiliensis (rubber tree)
Lineage: Eukaryota; Viridiplantae; Streptophyta; Magnoliopsida; Malpighiales; Euphorbiaceae
Source: RNAcentral
AACUCCAGGGGCAGCUACGAGAGAACACAAAGCACAGGACCUUAGCUCGGAACCCUACCUCACCGCCUUGUUACCGCCGUAUUGGUGGUUACAAUGUCGACUCCAGCUAGAAAGAGGCUGAUGAGGGAUUUCAAGAGGUUGCAGCAGGACCCUCCUGCUGGUAUUAGUGGUGCACCUCAAGACAACAACAUUAUGCUUUGGAAUGCCGUGAUAUUUGGUCCUGAUGACACUCCUUGGGAUGGUGGUACGUUCAAGUUGACUCUUCAAUUCUCUGAGGAUUACCCCAACAAGCCACCAACAGUGCGGUUUGUUUCUCGCAUGUUUCAUCCUAAUAUUUAUGCAGAUGGAAGUAUAUGUUUGGAUAUUCUUCAGAAUCAAUGGAGUCCAAUUUAUGAUGUUGCGGCAAUACUUACAUCCAUUCAGUCAUUGCUGUGUGAUCCAAACCCCAACUCACCUGCAAACUCGGAAGCAGCUCGGAUGUUCAGUGAGAAUAAAAGGGAGUACAAUCGCAGAGUGAGAGAAAUUGUUGAGCAGAGCUGGACUGCUGACUGAUUCUAGGGACGAAAGAUGUCCUUGCAGACCUCAGAUGAAGAGCACCAUGGCUCAGCUAUGUUAUAUUUACGGAUUGAAACCUCCUCUUUGAAAUUUUAUUUGAAUGGAACUCUCAUUUUGUUUGAUCCUAGUAUUCUGGUUAGGUUCUAUUGCCUAAUUGUCAUUUGCUGCAUUGCAUUGACAAGCUUCUGUAAUAUAUGGAUUGCGUUUUGGUUUAGAAAUGCAAGGAACUUCCCAUACGCAUGGGAAUUGUUUUUCAUGUACUUAUUUUGCUAUAAAAUUUUGAGUAGUUCUAAG